Molecule: ribosomal RNA, 478 nt
Filed under: uncultured bacterium
Lineage: Bacteria
Description: partial 16S ribosomal RNA
Rfam family: Bacterial small subunit ribosomal RNA
Source: RNAcentral
GAUGAACGCUGGCGGCGUGCCUAAUACAUGCAAGUCGAGCGGCAGCACGGUCUUCGGACUGGUGGCGAGCGGCGGACGGGUGAGUAACGCGUGGGUAACCUGCCUCAUACACAUGGAUAACAUACCGAAAGGUAUGCUAAUACAAGAUGAUAUAAGAGAUUCGCAUGGAUUUCUUAUCAAAGCUUUUGCGGUAUGAGAUGGACCCGCGUCUGAUUAGCUAGUUGGUAAGGUAAUGGCUUACCAAGGCGACGAUCAGUAGCCGACCUGAGAGGGUGAUCGGCCACAUUGGAACUGAGACACGGUCCAAACUCCUACGGGAGGCAGCAGUGGGGAAUAUUGCACAAUGGGCGAAAGCCUGAUGCAGCAACGCCGCGUGAGCGAUGAAGGCCUUCGGGUCGUAAAGCUCUGUCCUCAAGGAAGAUAAUGACGGUACUUGAGGAGGAAGCCCCGGCUAACUACGUGCCAGCCGCCGCUGUAA